UUUACUCCUUUGAUACCGCCUGUGUAUGCAUCUUUGCUUUUUUUUUUUUUUGAAACAAUUGAGACUUAUUUACUGGCCUGGCAUGGUUAUUGUGUUGAUCAUAGUUUGUCGGACUUUGUAUUUUUUAUUUUUUGAACCGCCAAACCAAAUUCUCUGAAAGUUGAAACCAAGUGUGCCAACAUUCCAUGGCAAUAAACAUAGCAUAUUUGUUUGUGUUGCAUUUCAGUUAAGUGCGUCAGCAUUAUCAUCUUCAUGGGUUUAAUUAAAUCAAAAAAAUAAUGAUCCCUUUUUCCUUUGAUCAGAGUGUCGGAACUAAACCUUUGACAUACGAAAUAUAUCCACGCCCAUACAUGAACUCUUAAUGCCAUAUAUGCUUCCUUGGUUAUGCAUAUUAGUAUAUUGUUGUUACUUGACUACAAAUUGCUCAAUUAAGUAUCACUUGUAUGCCGUUUGUCGCAUGAACUUCAAAUAGCUAGAGCUUUCCAUUAGUUCGACAUAUUAACUUAAAUUUGGCAUUACGUACUUUGUAUAUUUUUUAAUUGAGGUGGGAAAUGGUGUAUCCUUGAUACGUUUGACUUUUGUGUGUGCAGGUCUUCAAUUUUGACAGACCUAUUGUUUCGUCGCCUCGUACUCGAGAUACAGUCAGGGAUAUAGACUAAGUAAGCUUAGUGGAGGCUCAAAUGGAAAGAAGGAGGAUUUAUCGUGAUGGGUCAUCGUGUUUGCACAGUGAACCCGUCAGGGGUGUCAGGUCAUCGUGUUUGCACAGUAAACCUGUCAUCCUCAGAUGAUCCGUUUGAAGACCUGGAUGCUUUUUGAAGGAGGAUUUAUCGUGAUGGGUCAUCGUGUUUGCACAGUGAACCCAUCAGGGGUGUCACGUCAUCGUGUUUGCACAGUGAACCUGUCAUCCCAGAUGAUUCGUUUGAAGACCUGGAGACUUUUUGAAGAAGGAUUUAUCGUGUUUGCACAAUGAACCCAUCAGAGAUGUCAGACCAUCGUGUUUCCACAGUGAGCCUGACAUCUUCAGAUGAUCCUUGGUCUCUAAAGGGGAGUUGCAUUGCAUGUCUUGACGAAUUCGGACUCGGAGCUCAGGACGAACGAAUCAAGGAAAAAGGCUUAGCAAAUUGCGGAAUUGAGGUACUGCUGGGGACCACGGAAACGAGUAGUGGCGAGGAUUUCACUAUUACAUUGUUCACCUAAGUUAAUGUUAAGUUGUAACAAGUUUAAGUAAAGAUUCUUGAUUAAGUUACGUACUUUUAUUAAGGAUUUAAAAAGGAUUAUUAUGUU
Spinacia oleracea (spinach) is the source of this 1284-nucleotide long non-coding RNA. RefSeq lists it as uncharacterized. The transcript is spliced from 4 exons. The record is from RefSeq and is a predicted model, not a curated record. NCBI's taxonomy places the organism in Eukaryota, Viridiplantae, Streptophyta, Magnoliopsida, Caryophyllales, Amaranthaceae.